UACGUAGGGGUCUAGCGUUGUCCGGAAUUAUUGGGCGUAAAGAGCGUGUAGGCGGCCUGACAGGUCUGCUGUGAAAACUCGAGGCUCAACCUCGAGAUGUCGGCGGAAACCGUAUGGCUAGAGUCCGGAAGAGGAGAGUGGAAUUCCUGGUGUAGCGGUGAAAUGCGCAGAUAUCAGGAAGAACACCCGUGGCGAAGGCGGCUCUCUGGGACGGUACUGACGCUGAGACGCGAAAGCGUGGGGAGCGAACAGG
Molecule: ribosomal RNA, 253 nt
Filed under: uncultured bacterium
Lineage: Bacteria
Description: partial 16S ribosomal RNA
Rfam family: Bacterial small subunit ribosomal RNA
Source: RNAcentral